Raphanus sativus (radish) is the source of this 721-nucleotide long non-coding RNA. RefSeq lists it as uncharacterized. The record is from RefSeq and is a predicted model, not a curated record. NCBI's taxonomy places the organism in Eukaryota, Viridiplantae, Streptophyta, Magnoliopsida, Brassicales, Brassicaceae. The transcript is spliced from 3 exons.
AUAUUAUGUGUUUAUUAACAGAAAAGGUAAAUUUACAUCGUUUCGCCGUCGUAGUUCCGUUGAAGCAGCCUCCGAUGAACAUCCUGAAGUGCCUUCGGUUUCCGUUAAUUGGGUCCUUUAAUUCGUGCAUUUACAUACUUCGUUUCACUUGCCCACUGCUUGACAAGCCUAUUGGAGAGAUCGGAGACAUCUCAGGCAACCACUGUAGCUGGAGCCUUGGUCACAACUAAGGAACCAAAGCUUGAACUCAAGUGUCAGACGUUUAAUAAAGUAAAUGUUAUUCAUCGGGUCUUCAUGUUGCUCUUGACCGCCUGAUCCGUGAUCAACUGCUUUCUCUUCCAGCGAGGUCUCCGAUUUCUCCAUCCUUGCUGCAGCUAUAUUUUGAUUUCUAUCGGCCCCCUUUCCGGUCAUGCUUCUGUUUUUCUUGAGUUGUGUUGUUUUUCGUUUCAUUCUGUGUAAUAAGUUUCAUACAACAAUGUGAAAAACUCAAAAACUUUAUAAAUAUUAACAUUUACCAAAAGAAAAGUAAAUGUUAUUCACAACAAUCAAACAUUAAAAAAUAACACUUAGAUUAGGAAAUUACAUCAAUAGAAUCUAUGCUCUCUUAGUCAUACUUAUCAUUUCCGCUGCAGUGAUCAAUGGCUUCAUACAAACAUAAGAUAUCUCAUAUGUUGAGAGUCAUCUAUAAUUUAAUAUAAUUACAAUUUAUAAGAGGGUUCUU